AUUGAACGCUGGCGGCAUGCCUUACACAUGCAAGUCGAACGGCAGCAUGAUCUAGCUUGCUAGAUUGAUGGCGAGUGGCGAACGGGUGAGUAAUACAUCGGAACGUGCCCUGUAGUGGGGGAUAACUAGUCGAAAGAUUAGCUAAUACCGCAUACGACCUGAGGGUGAAAGUGGGGGACCGCAAGGCCUCAUGCUAUAGGAGCGGCCGAUGUCUGAUUAGCUAGUUGGUGAGGUAAAGGCUCACCAAGGCGACGAUCAGUAGCUGGUCUGAGAGGACGAGCAGCCACACUGGGACUGAGACACGGCCCAGACUCCUACGGGAGGCAGCAGUGGGGAAUUUUGGACAAUGGGCGAAAGCCUGAUCCAGCAAUGCCGCGUGUGUGAAGAAGGCCUUCGGGUUGUAAAGCACUUUUGUCCGGAAAGAAAUGGCUCUGGUUAAUACCUGGGGUCGAUGACGGUACCGGAAGAAUAAGGACCGGCUAACUACGUG
Molecule: ribosomal RNA, 490 nt
Filed under: uncultured bacterium
Lineage: Bacteria
Description: partial 16S ribosomal RNA
Rfam family: Bacterial small subunit ribosomal RNA
Source: RNAcentral